GACGAACCGUGCGAACGUUGUUCGGAAUCACUGGGCUUAAAGGGCGCGUAGGCGGGCGAGCAAGUCCGGGGUGAAAGCCUCCGGCUUAACCGGAGAAGGGCCUUGGAUACUGCUCGUCUUGAGGGAGGUAGGGGCUUGUGGAACUUCCGGUGGAGCGGUGAAAUGCGUUGAUAUCGGAAGGAACUCCGGCGGCGAAAGCGAUGCACUGGCUGAUUUCUGACGCUGAGGUGCGAAAGCCAGGGGAGCAAACGGG
RNAcentral lists this ribosomal RNA (253 nucleotides) under uncultured bacterium. RNAcentral's name for it is "partial 16S ribosomal RNA". It matches the Rfam family "Bacterial small subunit ribosomal RNA", at positions 524 to 776 of the family's 1533-position model. The record is from RNAcentral.